UGGUAAUACAUUUACUUAUUUGUCAGUUUCCAGUAUACACGUACAGCAGUUUCAGAAUUGCUAACCAAUACCCCUGUGAGAAACAACUUUACCAGCUGCAGCAUUUAUGUACACUUUUGUCUUUAAUCUUACAGUUUCUAGUUAAAACACUGUUUUCCAAAAAUUAUUCAGGUCAGCACCUUUUCCCCCAUCCCUUUAGUGAAGUUAUAUCACAUAUCUGAAACAAGCUUGUUAGGUUCUUUUGUCACCAUUGCAUUCCCCUCCGGGAUCCCUAACUCUUGGUUGAUUGAUUUUUUUACUUGCACAUAUUAAGCUCUUUAUGCUAUAAAGUUCUAUCAGUUUUUUCAAAUGCAUAGUAUAUGUCCACCACUACAGUUUACUUUUAACUCUACAACUCCCCCAUUCUUUCCCCCAAGUGAAAACUCCCCUUUCCUCAAAUCCCUAGCAACCACUGAUUGGUUUUCCAGUCUUAAAUUUGGCCCUUUCUAGAAUGCCAUAUGAAUGGAAUCAUUCAAUAUGAUGUAGCCUUUUCAGUCUGGCUUCAAUAACUUGGGAAAAUGCAUUUAAGACGCAUCCAUGUUGUAGCAUCAAUUGCUUAUCAUUGAAUAAUAACCCAUUGCAUGGAUGUACCACCGUUUAUGCAUUCACCUACUGAAGAACUUCUUGGUUGCUUCUAGUUUUUGAUGAUUAUGAACAAAGCUGACAACUAUGAUUAAAGCACGUGCUUUUGCUGGGUCAUGUGGUAAGUCUGUGUUUAACUUUAAUAAGACACUGCUAAACCAUCUUCCAAAGUAGCAAGUAUGAGAUAACCAGCAUUUAGUAUUGUCAGGUUUUUUUUUUCUCUUAACCAAUCUAACAGGUAUGUCAGUAAUAUCUUGCUGUUUCAAUUUCCUUAAUGACAAAUAAUGUUGAGAAUCUUUUUAUAGAUGGUUAUUUGCCAUCCAUAAGUCUUUUUUGCCAUCCAUAAGUCUUUUUGAAGCAGUUGUUCAGAUCAUUUGUCCAUUUUUUUACAAGUGGCUGUUUCCUUAAUUUUUUUCUUAUAUUUUGGAUAUCCAUUCUUUAAGAGAUAUGUGAUUUGAAAAUGUUUUCUCCCAGAUAUAACCUGUGUUUUCAUUCUCUCAACAGAAUCUUUUGUAGAGCAAAAGUCUUCAGUUUUGGUAAGUCCAAUUAAUCAAUUUUUUCUUCCAUGGAUCAUAAAAGGACUGUCUCCGAGAAGAGAGUGAGUUCUUACAACCAAGUGUGACAGAGAAGUCAGAUAAUUUUGAGAAUAUGAUUAAAAUAACUUAUUCUUUUGUCAGUAAAAAAAAAAGCAAUUCCAAAUUCUGUGGGAGAGGGGAGAUACAGAAGAAAGUCAUCAUCUAAUUAUCAAUAAAAUUAAAAUGCUACAUUUUUUUUAAUUUUAGGGAGUGGAAGAUAAGAUACCCCAUUUGACCUUGAUACUAGAAACAUUAUUUUUAGGGUCACAACUUUGAACACAGAGACAAAGAAAUGUAAUCACAGUGUACUACUUGGUUCUGUAUUGUAUAAUCAUAACAAAUUAAUUAGUUAAAUAUCAUGUAUUGAACUUUUAGAAUAAAUUGAAAGCAUGGAAGAGUUCACUAUGAUUACAGAAUAAUUAUAACACUAAUAGCAAUCAUUUAUAUAGUCCUUAUUACGUAUCGGGCCCUGUUUCAAAUGUUUUACAUAAAUCUUCACAAUAAUCCUGUGAAAUAAGAGUACAUUAUCCUCAUUUUAUAAUUGAGAAAACUGAGGCACAGAGAAAUUAAAUAAUUUGCCAAGGUGACACAGCUAGGAUGUGGUAGUGCUUGGAUUUAAACCCAGGCAACCUAAUUCCAAUGUCCACAUUCUUAACCACAAAGUUAUACUGCCUUCCUUAAAUAGAAUAUAAAUAUUAUAAACUUUGAUAAUUUUAAAGUAAAUGGAUAUUUGACAGAAGUUAAAAGACAGAAGGGAGGUAAAAAUUAAAGUAGAGGGUAUGGGUAAUAAACUCUCACUUUAUAAAAAGGGCAAUAAAGGAUACAGUACUGCCAAAAGCUAAUGGAACAUGAAAUAGAGGUUCAGGCAUAUUGGAGUCACAAAGCUAACCAACAGAGGAAAUAACAACAAUAAUAUAUAACUAUAUAAAGUUUGAAGAAGGGCAAUAGAGUAGCAGAAGAGUAAAUCAUCUUAAACAUCAAGUCAUCGACAGUUAUCGCCUUAGUUGAUAAAUCAAGAAGUAGUAAGAUAAGCAUAUUAUUUAAAAUUAUAGAAACACCCACCACAAGACAAAAAGAAAUAAUCAAAAUUGGCAUGCAGCAUUUCAAAUAAACUAGUUGUAGCUGUCCACUUUCACACUGCUAUAAAGAAUUCCCUGAGAGUGGGUAAUUUAUAAAGGAAAGAGGUUUAAUUGACUCACAGCUCCACUUGGCUUUGUUUCCUCGGGAAACUUACAAUCAUGAUGGAAGGUGAAGGGGAACCAAGGACCCUCUUCACAUGGUGGCAGGAGAGAGAAGUACAUGUGUCAGCACAGAAAAAACUACCAUUUAUAAAACCAUCAGAUCUCAUGAGAAUUCACUCACUAUCAUGAGAACAGCAUGGAGGAAAGCGACCCCAUAAUGCAAUCACUUCCCACCAGGUCUCUCCCUAAACACCUGGGGACUACAAUUCAAGAUGAGAUUUGGGUGGGGACACAAAGCCUAACCAUAUCACUAGUAUAGUACAGCAGUUAAAAAUAUAAACUCUGGAUCAAACCUUCUUGGGAUCAAACCCCAUUCCUCCACUUAACAUUACAGUCUGUUAAAGAAAGUUACUCAACUUCUCUUUCCUCAAUUUUCUUAUCAGAAAAUGGCUAUAAAUAUGGAGAUGGC
This 2846-nucleotide long non-coding RNA is filed under the name Homo sapiens (human). RNAcentral's name for it is "HSALNT0376551". Lineage: Eukaryota; Metazoa; Chordata; Mammalia; Primates; Hominidae. The record is from RNAcentral.